Molecule: long non-coding RNA, 226 nt
Filed under: Hordeum vulgare
Lineage: Eukaryota; Viridiplantae; Streptophyta; Magnoliopsida; Poales; Poaceae
Description: long non-coding RNA (HVUL_LNC004211)
Source: RNAcentral
UUCUAGGCAGGUUUAAAUGAGGCUGAAACAUUGAAUAACAAUUCUGGAAAGUCCCCAUGUGCAAUUAAGAUUAUGGUAUUGUUCUACCUAUAACAUAAUUUUAGAGUUGUUAAACACCAAAAUAAAUGUCACCAUGAUAUUCUACGCAUUUUUCUAGCCAAGUUACAUAUCUGGAUCAUUUAAAUCGGAGAUAUGGUUAAUUAUCUAUGAAAUAAAUCAUUUUAAC